AUGGGAUUUUUUUUCCAUUUUCUUUUUGAGCGUACCGGGUUUUCUCCAUGCUGUUUCUUACUCUCCUCUUUUACAGCCCUCCCAUUUCCCUCGUUUUUCUUUGAAAAUUUCUCCCCCCUCCAGUUCGCUGUCCUGCCCUCACAUGUGCGAGAGGGGCAGUGUGCCGUUAAUGGCCGUGCCGGGCACCGGGCCGCUCUGGUAGUGCUGGGACAUGUGCAGUCUGCUGGGGGCGGCGGGUUCCGGCACCUCGGCGCCAGGGAGAUACAUGCUGAUCAUGUCCCGGAGGUCCCCGGCCUGGCAGGGCGCCCUGGAGUGGGAGGAAGAGGUAACCACAGGGGGGCUGGAGCUGGCCUCGGACUUGACCACCGAACCCAUGGAACCAAGAGCCAUGCCAGGGGUGCCCUGCUGCGAGUAGGACAUGCUGUAGGUGGGCGAGCCGUUCAUGUAGGUCUGCGAGCUGGUCAUGGAGUUGUACUGCAGUGCGCUCACGUCGUAGCGGUGCAUGGGCUGCAUCUGCGCUGCGCCGUGCGCGUUGAGGCCCGGGUGCUGAGGGUAGCCCAGCUGGUCCUGCAUCAUGCUGUAGCUGCCGUUGCUCCAGCCGUUCAUAUGCGCGUAACUGUCCAUGCGCUGGUUCACGCCCGCGCCCAGGCCGGCGCCCACCCCGACCCCGCUCGCCAUGCUGUUGCCGCCGGGGGCCAGCAGCCCGCCGGGCAGCGUGUACUUAUCCUUCUUCAUGAGCGUCUUGGUUUUCCGCCGGGGCCGGUAUUUAUAAUCCGGGUGCUCCUUCAUGUGCAGCGCUCGCAGCCGCUUAGCCUCGUCGAUGAAGGGCCGCUUCUCCGUCUCCGACAAAAGUUUCCACUCUGCUCCGAGGCGCUUGCUGAUCUCCGAGUUGUGCAUCUUGGGGUUCUCCUGGGCCAUUUUGCGCCGCUGCCCGCGGGACCACACCAUGAAGGCAUUCAUGGGCCGCUUAACGCGGUCCGGACUGUUCUUCUGGUUGCCGCCCGCCGCCGCCGCAGUAGAGUUGCCGCCGCCGCCGCCGCCCCCCGAAGUUUGCUGCGGGCCCGGCGGCUUCAGCUCCGUCUCCAUCAUGUUGUACAUGCGGGCGCUGUGCGCGGGCCCGGCCCGCCGGCGGCCGCCGACCCUCGGCCCGGCCGGGACUUUGGGGGGCCCGCGGGCGGGGGGAGAGGAGGAGGGGAGGCGGGCGGGGGUGUCGGGAGCGCAGGGCUCCGCGAGGAAAAUCAGGCGAAGAAUAAUUUGGGGGAAAAAAAGAGAGAGGCAAACUGGAAUCAGGAUCAAAAAAGAGCUUCCCUCCUCCUCCGGCCGAUCCUGCCGCCGCCGAUGAUUGUUAUUAUUAUUUUUUGGAAAGGCUUAAGCCUGGGGCUCAAACUUCUCUCCCUUUCUUUCUCUCUCCUCUUCUUUCUCUCAGUCCUAGUCUUAAAGAGGCAGCAAACUACUUUCCCCCUUUUGCAAACACUCUCUUCUCUGCCUUGA
Molecule: long non-coding RNA, 1491 nt
Filed under: Papio anubis (olive baboon)
Lineage: Eukaryota; Metazoa; Chordata; Mammalia; Primates; Cercopithecidae
Description: lncRNA (ENSPANG00000025489.3)
Source: RNAcentral